GGUGCUAUAGUGUAGAAGUUAUCACUCGGGAUUCUGAUAAAGCUCUCGUUGGUGAAGAUGUGUUUCCCGAAACCCAGGUUCGAAUCCUGGUAGCACCU
Molecule: non-coding RNA, 98 nt
Organism: Paramarasmius palmivorus
Lineage: Eukaryota; Fungi; Basidiomycota; Agaricomycetes; Agaricales; Marasmiaceae
Source: the annotation of a GenBank genome assembly